GUGCAGCAGGCGAGAAACUUCACAAUGUGCGAAAGCACGAUGAGGGAAUCCCAAGUGCUUGCACGUAAGUGUAAGCUGUUUCUCUGUCUAAAACGCAGAGAGAGUAAGGGCUGGGUAAGACGGGUGCCAGCCGCCGCGGUAAUACCUGCAGCUCGAGUGGUGACCGUUAUUAUUGGGCCUAAAACGUCCGUAGCCGGUUUAAUAAAUGCCUGGGUAAAUCGGACCGCUUAACGGUUCGAAUUCCGGGUAGACUGUUAAACUUGAGACCGGGAGAAGUUAGAGGUACUCCUGGGGUAGAGGUGAAAUUCUGUAAUCCUAGGGGGACCACCAGUGGCGAAGGCGUCUAACUAGAACGGGUCUGACGGUGAGGGACGAAGCCCU
Molecule: ribosomal RNA, 381 nt
Filed under: uncultured microorganism
Description: bacterial SSU rRNA
Rfam family: Archaeal small subunit ribosomal RNA
Source: RNAcentral